Molecule: RNA transcript, 2705 nt
Organism: Eucalyptus grandis
Lineage: Eukaryota; Viridiplantae; Streptophyta; Magnoliopsida; Myrtales; Myrtaceae
Exons: 5
Source: RefSeq, a predicted model, not a curated record
CUGGCUGACGUUCCACCGGUCGACGUAAAGCUCCCCGCCCUGGUCCCGAUUCUCAGAAACAAAUACUUCAAACUAGAAUUUUAGCAGACGCAGCUGAGAUGAAAAGAAAAAGGAGCUCUUCUUCGGAAAUUGGAUUCACAUGCCAUGGCUCAUCCGGGAAUUGAGUAUGACGUGUUCUUGAGUUUUCGAGGACUGGAUACUCGCACUACCUUCACAGAUUAUCUUUAUCAUACCUUGCUGGAUAAGGGUAUCAGUGUUUUCAUAGACAAGCAAGGGAUCGACAUUGGGGAAGAGAUCGGUCCCGAGAUUUUUCAGGCCAUCAAUGACUCAAAAAUGUGCAUUCCCAUCUUCUCCACAGGCUACGCCUCUAGUAGCUGGUGCCUACGUGAAUUGGAACACAUGAUGGAGUGUAGGAAAACUAACAAACUAGAGGUUAUGCCCAUUUUCUAUGAUGUGGAACCCUCGACGUGAAGCUUGAAACCAAAGUGUAUAGGGAUGCUCUAACUUUGCGGGAAGAAAAACACGGUGCUGAGAUUGUGCAGCGCUGGAUGGAGGCACUUAAGGAAGUUACUGGAAUCAAGGGAUGGGACACCAAGAGCAUAGGCCAUGGAGAACUUGCACAAUUGAUUGCUCGGAAAGUGUUGGUUAAGCUUAAGGUGUCUUUUGUUCGAAUAUCCGAUCAUUUAGUUGGAAUGGACGACUCAGUGGAUAGAGUAGUAGGUUUAUUGGAUGUCAACUAUAAGGAUAUAAGGCUCAUUGGAAUUUGCGGGAUGGGUGGAAUAGGCAAGACAACUCUUGCCAAGGUUGUUUACCACAAGCUAUCUACUAAUUUUGAGAAUCACAGCUUCAUUUCAAAUAUCCGAGAGUCUGAUCUAUUAACGUGCAGAGGCAAUUAGUCUUUGAUAUCGGUGGUGACAUAGGAGAUGAACUUCGUAGCAUUGAUCAUGGGAUGAAUAUGAUCCAAAAUCGAUUUUGCAGAAAGAAAGUUCUUAUAUUUCUUGAUGAUGUAGAUCAUAGAAGCCAACUUAUGGCAUUAGUUGCAAAGGCAGAAUGGUUUGGUUUGGGAAGUAGAAUAGUUGUCACAACAAGAGACAAAGGUGUUUUAAAUGGAUUCCAAGAUCAAUUUGGACAUUGUUUGAUUUAUGAGGCUAAGGAACUCAACAAUCCGGAAGCUCUUCAACUUUUUAGCAAGCAUACCUUUAGAAGCAACUCUCCUCCAAAUGAAUUCUUGAGUCUAUCUAUGGAAGUUACUAGAAAAGCCGGAGGGCUUCCUUUGGCUAUCGAAGUGAUUGGCUCGUAUUUAUAUGGAAAAACGAAAGCGGUGUGGCAAGAUACAUUGAAAAAGAUGGAUUAUUGUCAGCAUAGGGAUGUGAAGGAAAAGUUAAUGUUGAGUUAUCAGGCAUUAGAUCAUCUGCAACAACAAAUAUUUCUUGAUAUCGCUUGCUUUCUAGCUGGACAAGAUAAGAGCUAUGCAUAUUACAUGUGGGAUGACUGUGGAUUUUUUUCCAAGUGAGGGGAUUGAUAUUCUGCUUUUAAUGUCCUUAGUGAAGAUUGGAGAGGAGAAUGAACUAUGGAUGCAUGAUCAGCUUAAGGACUUAGGUAGGACCAUUAUGUAUGAAGAAAAUUGCAAAGACCCCACAAAGGGUUCUCGAGUGUGGUGGGCUUGGCAAGGUGGUAUGAAUAUUGUCCAGCAAAAGAAGGGAACCGGAACUGUUGCAGCGUACUAUAAUCAAUCUAGGUGCCUCUCCAAGACUAUGUUUUGACAUCAAAAGACUUUAUCGAAGUGCCAAAUAUUAGAUUUCUCAAAUUGUCUGAUUGCACUCUCUCCGGAGAUUUUGGGGAUCUCUUUUAGAAUUGAGAUGGCUUACUUGGUAUGAUUGUCCAAAAGAAAUGCAGGCAACCAACUUUUGCCCAAAAAUCUAGUCAUCCUUAAACUAUGGGGAAGAGCUCAAUAGAUGAACAUUGGGGUGGUUGGACUCAACUCAAGAUGGCUACAAGAUUGAAGGUCCUUGAUCUGUCGUAUUGCAGAAUGUUGAAAGAAAUUCCUGAGCUCUCUGCAUUUUUAUCCUUAGAAAAAUUAAUUCUAAAGGGGUGUGCAAUGCUUACGAAAGUUCCGACUCGAUCGGAAUACUGAAAUACUUAGUUGAGUUGGAUGUCUCAUUCACAAGCAUUGUAGAGUUGCCAAAUAGCAUUGUCAAUGUAAAGAGCUUGAAAGUGUUGAAGAUUGCGGGUAGUUGCAUGCAAAAGUUACACGAUGUCAUUGGGAUGAUGGAAAAACUUGAGGAAAUUUCUGGGAGAGUAUUGCCGGAUGCUAGAAGUGAUUUCUAGUGAUAUUGUGAGACUACCAUUCUUGCGGAUUUUGAAAUUAACAGGAGCUUGUCAUGAGAAUGUACCAAAUGCUUCCACAGAGUUCGGUAAGUAUAUCUAUCCUCACAUGUUUGAGAAAAAGAUUCGGAGAUCUCCAAUUUAGUGAGUCUAAAAAAUCUGAAAUUAUGUUUUCCCAUAACAUUCUAGAUGUUAUCAUUUAUAAGAGUAGUGUUGAUUAUAUUCUGUCUUUUAUUAUUCGAUGUGGGAGUAAUUUAAGAAUAGAUCGAUUUUCUUUUAUUUGUUGUUGGGGACAACAUUGAAAUAAGUGUGACGAAGAGUGGUUUUGGCUUAAGUUAGGAAUGCAUAUAUAGAGUAUUUAUAAGGUUAUUUUGGUGGAA